CCCACUAGCUGAAUGACAGUGCUGGCUUUCCUUGUCGCCCACACUCACUUCCCCUGCACAGACAGCAUGCUCAGGAACAAGGCGAUCUGUCCCUUUUGCCAAUGCCAGAGACGGCAGCUGGCCCCGCUGAUGUCAGACAGCGAGGCCAACUGCGGCAGUUUGUACUGGUAGCAGAAGAGAUGCUGAAGCAGCAAGCACCUCUGAAGCCAGCCAGAGGGCACAGCAUUGUCCUCCCAGGGACACUGAAGAGAAGCCACACACACUCCGCAAAGCUCUGCCAACCCAGCCAGACAGGUCCUGUCCUGGACCCUGGAGCUUACCAUGACAUCCAGACUGGUCCGGACUUCCCAGUCCUCCUGUCUCAGCCUGCUGAAUGCUGUGGUUACAGAAG
This is a long non-coding RNA of Mus musculus (house mouse), 391 nucleotides long. RefSeq annotates it as predicted gene, 40898. The record is from RefSeq and is a predicted model, not a curated record. Lineage: Eukaryota; Metazoa; Chordata; Mammalia; Rodentia; Muridae. The transcript is spliced from 2 exons.